This 9607-nucleotide long non-coding RNA is filed under the name Triticum aestivum (bread wheat). RNAcentral's name for it is "long non-coding RNA (TAES_LNC006031)". The record is from RNAcentral. Lineage: Eukaryota; Viridiplantae; Streptophyta; Magnoliopsida; Poales; Poaceae.
GGGUGGUGGCAGCGGCAGUGGCAGUGGCAAUGGCGGCGAUCAUAGCGUUGAUGAAGCGAAGCAAGAAGAGGAGGAGAUCGCCAACACGGUAGACUUGACUCUCAAGCUCUAGGUAACUCCGUAGGGUCUGAUCAUUACUCUGGUAUAGCCUUAUAAGCUUUGGUCUUGUUGUUGACAAUAGUAGUCAAUGCUAUCUCUCGUUUAAUUAGUUGUUGAUAGAAGAAGUUCAUUCAGUUCUUGGUCAAUUGGCUCUUAUGGAAGGAACGCAACAACAGAAGUUUUGAAGUUAAGUUCUCGUCGGUUGACCGCUUGUUAGACCUCAUCAAAUCCACAGCGCAUGAUUGGUUUAAGGCCGGGGCCUUAUAUGUCUUAAAAAUCUGUUUGUUUAGGCCUCUAUCAUCUUGCUCUCAUGUUUUGUUUGUAUGGUCGUUUGUAUGGUCGUUUGAUUUUGGUUGUAUCUCUAAGACAUUUGCACUCUUUUAUAAUACAAUUCUCUCUUGCAUGGUUCAGAAAUGGAAGUUCGUUAACGGUUCUUUCUUUUACUCCGUAUUUGUUAGUGCAUGGUCAACUAGCUCGGCAGGGUUCUAGCAAGUAAUGAUUUACACAUGUCUCAAAAAAAGUAAAGGUUUACACUUCCUUGGGCACACAGCCUAAACACAUCAACCAAUAAGAUCGCUCCAUACCUCUUUAUAAUAAAAAGUAGAAUGGUUUUUCUUAAAACGUGAUACGCGGCAUGUACGCACCACAUAACCUUCAAGAAAAGUGCCGACAAGAUUCUAACCCAACACCUAUACGCUUAGGACAAGCUAAAUAACCAACUGGACAAGUUUCUUGUUGUGUCUUGUUAUCUUCUUUUUUUCUUUUUUAUUAAAUACUACCUUCAUUCAGGAUUAUUGGUCUCAUGAGCAAACUAACCGCGCUUGAUUUUUGGGGCCGCUGGAUGUAUGCAUUUGAUUUUCUUUCUUGGAUUCCCUUCCACUGCAUGGACGCACGAUCGGUUAGAUGCCUGCGUUAGCUACAAUAAGUUAAGCACCUUUGCAUUGAGAAUUUUAGUUGCUUAGCUCUUUAAUUUACUUAGCACAUCCCCUUAGCACUAGCGCAUUGGAGGAGGUCUUAGUUGCAUACAAAACUAAGCAGGCAACGAGCCCCAGACAAAAACGGAUGCCAGCUGUGGACGUGCGCGUGUUUGGCCGCAUGUAAAGGCAAAGCCUGGCCACCGGCUGCAUGCCAUAACUGCAGGUACUUCGGUUGGCCUUUUCAUGCUCGAAUCACACGCCGUUAGCAUUAAAUCAUACUCCCUCCGUUCGGUAAAAAGUGUACAUCUAGAUAUUUUAGGACAAAUUAUAAAGUGGAGUAAAAAAUGCAUUGGAAAGAUGCAAGCCACCACUCUCUCAUCUUUAAUUACCUAAACCAAUGAGCUAAGUACAUGUAGAAAUUAAGAAGACUAUGUAUAGAAUGCUAUUGGUCUUGAUUACUGGGAUAAACAGGCUAGCUUUGUUAACGGUUCAAUCUUCACAGCACUGAAACAUUGUUAAGUAAAGUCUCCAUAUAUCUAACCUAUUUUACAGAAGUUCAUAAGUAUAUAUUGUGUGCUAGACUAGAAGGGUGUAAGAGAUAACUCAAAUAUGGCUUCUAUUCCAUCUAAUUUUUUAGGUAGAGGUUACUGAGGAGAGAUUGAAGAGGUGGUACAUGGGUGGGAACAAAGGGAAGCCAGAUUCAAGGGGAAGUCCAUGAGAUUAAAAAUCUGGCACAAGUAAUGAAUCACCAUCAAGGUAGAACUUGUAUGCCCUGUUUGAUCGGAGUUUGUGGUGUUUUAGAGGAUAACUACUCUUCUUACAAUAUGUCAAGAAUGAAAGGGAUGGAACAUUAGUUGGCAUCGUAGACGUGUCAGAGGUUGUUUCUCAGGAUCGAGCAAACGAUAGCAGUGAUGUGUGCUCCACUUGAGAAGAAAACAAAUAUGUUGCUCAAGGAAAACAUUGAUCUGCCACUGCCUCAGCAUGUAAAAUAUGCCUUGCGUCACUGUAAGCUGGUGGCACAAGUGUUGUUGUGUAUUGAUGGAUUUUGGUUGUGAUUAGCAAACAUGUUAUUUGUAUAUCGACUGUGUGCGCUUCUUGUCGUCAUUUAUCUCGGUGUGAUCAUCAAACGAUUGGUUUGGUGUAGAUUCUAUCUAUCGGUUUGUUACAGUUUACAGGUUGAUAUGAAACUUGUCACGGUUUAUACAGUGGAGUGGAAUAUGAUAAUAUUACCGUGACCAUAUCUAUUGUAUACUAAAAGCACAAUGUAUUUUUUUCCAAGCCACGACAUUUCAGGAACUUAGACAAUAUGGAAAAUAUGAAAACAUACACAAAAUACAAGUCAGGAAACAAAAACACAAUAUGAACUGCCAACAAAAACAAAACAAAAAUAUGAGACAUACAAGCCUGAAAACCGCUACACCUAUGGACAGUUGUGUGGUAGACACCAGAACUUAAACGGGUCAUGCAGGAAUGUGUGUAAAAUUUCAGGAUGAAAUAACUUAAAAUCGAAACGGCAGACGAUUCCACAUGAGCGUAAGAGAAGAACAUCUUGCAAGGUCCAGUGAGAAUACAAAAUUCAAACUCCUUGAAAGUAUAUUUUGCUUAGAUCAAACAUUUGGUCCAUACCGUCACAUUCCAAACUGUAAUUAUUCUUACUAAAAAUAGCUAAAAUAAAUCAUCAUCAAAAUAGCUAGAGAUCUCAGAGUGGGGCAUUUUGGAGCUCGGCCUCCAUGGAGCCGGAGUUUCUGGAAAAUUCAAAACUCAAACUUUUCAGUUUAAAAAACUGAUUUUUUUAUACAAGUAAACAAGGAUGAAAUACCUUAAAAUGUGAUCUGUUCAAAAAAGACAAAUUCAUGAACUUUGUACUCUACUAAAAAGCCUCAGAUUUGUUCCUUUUGUGUAGCACUUAUUUUAAGGUAUUUCAUCCUGAAAGUUUACACACUUAUGCUUUAUGUCUCUAAGUAUAUUUGUAUUUUUUCAAAAAAAAACGUGAAAAUUUGAAUUUUGAUCAAUUCAAUUUCGGCCUCCAUGGAGGCCGAGCUCCGUUGAGCAUUUUUGGAGAUCUCACAAUUAACAACCUAUUAUAUACUGAAAGCACAAUACUUGCUUUUUUCGUCGAGGCACACGUGAAUCCACAUCAUUUAUUUCAAUGGUUGCCCGGUUGGAUCAACAAUUCAAUGAACAUGUUAUAUUCGGAUUUGGAAACAGUUCAAUCCCACAAUCCUCUUGACCAGAGAUAAGCAUAAAGUACGUUUCUAUUUGUAUUAAAUUUGCUCUCCCCGCUAAAAAAAAUUUGCUCGUCCUAAUAUUAAGGCGUGUCCUAGCUUUUCACAUGGAGCGUGUACUGGUCAUCUACUAAGCUAGCCACCAGAAUAAUAAAUUCGGUUUUGCCAAUUCUCACUCCGAUGAGAAACAACUAGAUCUCACUCAAUAACACGGUAUGAUUUUACACGAAGAUUGAUGCAGAUUUUUCUUUUUUUUUCUUUCUUUUUUUGUUUGAUUGUUUUACAAUUUUUUGUUGUUCUGGCUAGCGAGCGUGCAACUAUAGUUGUGUGGUCGACUGGCAGAACUUGAAACAUCAUUUCUAUGUGGCCUUUGAAUAACGUGAUGAGCUCAUUGACAAGAAUGAGCAAGCAAAUUCCUUUAACAGGAGGUGAAGUGCUACAAACCAUUUUAAUUUUAAAAAACUACUGAUGAUAGAAGAUAUGCAUAAGCAACAUUUGGAAAUCAAAUAUAAAAAACAUAAGUCAGCAUGGCACAUCUUGUUACUUGUCAUUCCCAAAGAAUGGUAUUCUUGCCAGUUGAUUUAUGAUAGAAGUACAACUAAUGUAUUUUAUUGUGCUAUAUUAAUUUGAGUUUACAAUUCUAUAAUUUUUGGUAUGUUAAUUUGCUAUUUUAGACUGUUCAUUUGCGUAUUUUCCAAAAAUAAAAAGUGCAACAAAGGUGUACGGAAACAGGGGAAAGGAAAUAAAAGUGAAAAUAGAUAAAUAUAAACAUCAAAAUGUCAUAAUUCUACAUAAACACACUAAUAUAGCACAAGAUAAUACAUUCUGUGUACUAUGAACCUCCCUGAGACCAUAUGUUUAUCCAUCGGUCAAUUUGAACGUACUCAAGAUGAUGCCCUUGCAUUUGUGAAGGCCAUUGGGCUAGUUACUAGAACAAAAGAAAAAGACCAAACGGGUAGAGCACACCAAGUAUAGUGAUCCAUGAUAUGCAGCAAAGCAUGUACAACUAGUUAAGAGCAUCUAUAGCCGAGCGCCUUAAACUGGCCUCAAACGACCGUGCGGUCGUCCCGGUCAUUAACCGGUCAAAAAAACCCGACCACCCAGGCAGUGGCGGAGCUUCAUGGGGGCCAACCUAGGCGGUGGCCCCCCAGCUCACAGGAAAAUACAUGUAUAUAUCUUAGUUUUAGGCCUAUUUUUGCACCAAAAAUCAACCUAUAGNNNNNNNNNNNNNNNNNNNNNNNNNNNNNNNNNNNNNNNNNNNNNNNNNNNNNNNNNNNNNNNNNNNNNNNNNNNNNNNNNNNNNNNNNNNNNNNNNNNNNNNNNNNNNNNNNNNNNNNNNNNNNNNNNNNNNNNNNNNNNNNNNNNNNNNNNNNNNNNNNNNNNNNNNNNNNNNNNNNNNNNNNNNNNNNNNNNNNNNNNNNNNNNNNNNNNNNNNNNNNNNNNNNNNNNNNNNNNNNNNNNNNNNNNNNNNNNNNNNNNNNNNNNNNNNNNNNNNNNNNNNNNNNNNNNNNNNNNNNNNNNNNNNNNNNNNNNNNNNNNNNNNNNNNNNNNNNNNNNNNNNNNNNNNNNNNNNNNNNNNNNNNNNNNNNNNNNNNNNNNNNNNNNNNNNNNNNNNNNNNNNNNNNNNNNNNNNNNNNNNNNNNNNNNNNNNNNNNNNNNNNNNNNNGGCCCCCCCAUGAUUCUUGCCCAAGCUCCGCCACUGCACCCAGGCGCCUCAAAACGGCUUCAAAUGCUUGGGCUAACCAUCACCCCUCAUAUACAACCCAAAUUUGGACAGAUAUGGGGCAGCCCGGGCGUCACCACGUUGGACGGACGACCAGGUCCCACCCAUAAUCGCCCAUAAAUCCAACGGUCCGACGGGCGUUUCCUCCGGUCGGGGUGUUAGUGCCACGUGGCGCUGCUUCGGCUCACCGCCCGGGGGCCAAGGUCCCGCUAUUUAAGUCGUACAACGUCCCCCAGCCCUAGCCACAUCCGCUUCCUCCCUCCCCAUGCUGCCAGUCCGAGCCCAUCUACUUCUCCCCCUCUUCCCUCGUUGUGCGCCUCCGCCAUGGCGUGGCAUAAGAAGACCACCUAUGCUAUGCUGACACCGAAGUGGCGCUUCCAGAUGCCCGAAGAGAUCUGUGUUAGGCACGCCGCCCGGAUCACAGCGGGCCCGCCUCCGGAUUCGCUGGAGCAGCAACCAGAGCCCAUGGAGUAGGAGGAGGGGGAGGAGGAGUAGGAGCCAAAGCCAGCUGCAGGCUUUGCCAUAUAUGGAGGACACCAUGGCAGAGUUCGAGGUCACCCAAGUGGCGGAGAUGGUGUAGCAGACCGCUAUCCUGGAGUCCAUCUAGGAUGAGGACUAUGUCCAGGCCAACCGAUGGUCCAUCCGACAAGAGUGGGCUAGUUACUAGAACAAAAGAAAAAUAGAGACCAAACGGGUUGAGCACACCAAGUAUAGUGAUCCAUGAUAGGCACUAGGCAGCAAAGCAUGUACAACUAGUUAAGAGCAUCUACAGCCAAGCGCCUCAAACCGGUCUCAAACGCCCGUGCGGUCGUCCCGGUCACUGACCGGUCAAAAAAAAAACGACCACCCAGGCACCUCAAACCGUCUUCAAACACUCGGGCUAACUAUCAUCCCUCAUAUGCAGGCCCAAUUUGGACAGAUAUGGGGUAGUCCGGGCGCGUUCACCACGUUGGACGGACGACCGGGUCCCACCAGUAAUCGCCCAUAAACGCAACAGUCCAACAGGUGUUUCCUCCGGUGGGGGUGUUAGUGCCACGUGACGCCGCUUCGGCUUGCCGCCCGAGGGACAAGAUCCCGCUAUUUAAGCCGUACAAUGUCCCCCAGCCCUAGCCACAUUCACUUCCUCCCUCCCCGUGCUGCCAGCCCGAGCCCAUCCACUUCUCUCCCUCUUCCCUAGUUGUGCGCCUCCGCCAUGGCCUGGCAGAAGAAGACCACCUAUGCUAUGCCGACACCGGAGCAGCACUUCCGGAUUCUCGAGGAGAUCUAUGUUAGAUGCGCCGCCCGGAUCAUAGCGGGCCUGCCUCCGGAUUCGUUGGAGUAGUAACCGGGGCCCAUGGAGUAGGAGGAGGGGGAGGAGGGGGAGGAGCCGAAGCCGGUUGCGGACUUUCCCGUAGAGGACACCAUGGCAGAGUUCGAGGUCACCCAAGCAGCGGAGAUGGCAUAGUAGACCGCUAACCUGGAGUCCAUUGAGGAUGAGGCAUAUGUCCAGGCCAACCGGUGGUUCAUCCGGUAAGAACGGGCGGUGACCGACGCACUUUUCACCGAACUGGACACGAAGGAGUAGGCAGAGACCGACGCGCAGGAGCCGCAGGAGCCGGAGUUACGUCUGCCGCCCAUCUACCCGGACCCGGGCACGAAGACCGUGGAGAGCUCCAACAAGGAGUAGGGUAGUGUAGGUUUUAGUUAAUCUACGUAAUGUAUAGGUUUUUCUCGUUUGCAUGCUUUGUAUGGAUUUAAUGUUUUAAGUAUGAGCUAUUCGGAUGCACAUAACAAAAUUUGAGGGUUUCCUGGUCAAUGCCCGCAGACACGCCCGGGCGUGUCCGCCAGCAUUUGAGGGCCCGAAUUUGGUGUCUGCGGCUGUAGAUGCUCUAAGUGGCAUGCCGAUUAGACAAAACCUAUGUUUAUUUGUGGAGAAAAAUUAAAUUGAUGCAUUCAAACAUAUGGGACCCAAAAAAUUUCUCUCAGGAUAUCUUGGUGCCAAUUAUAGCAUACCAAAUCCUUCUCCAUAUCCAUGUCAAUUAAGUACCCAAUAAAUUUGUACCGAUCCUCUUAAAACUGAAAAAGGGGAAAUAAUAAGUUCGAGUCCGCCAUUAUAAUAGAGGUAUGCCUAAUGUAUUUUCUUGCAAUAUAUUAAUUUGAAUUUUCAGUUCUAUAGUUUUUGGUAUGUUAAUUUGUUGUUUUAGACCCUUCAUUUGCAUAUUUUCCUAACUAAAAAGUGCAAUAAAAAUAUAUUGGAAAACAGAAGAAAGAGGAAAAACAAACUGAAAAUAAAAGCGCAAAGGACAAAUAAACAACAAAAUGUGAUAAUUCUACCUAAACAGAUUAAUAUAGCACAAGAAAAUGCAUUCCGCGUAAUGUGAACCUCCCUGAGACCAUACAUUUUGCCACAUUUUCCUCUCAUUUGUUGUUUUAGACCCUUCAUUUGCGUAUUUUCCGAAAAUAAAAGUUCAACAAGAAGGUGUAGGAAAACAGGAAAAGGGGGAAAACAAAAGUGGGAAUAGAUAAAUAAACAACCAAAUGACAUAAAUUCUACCUAAACACACUAAUAUAGCACAAGAAAAUACAUUCCAUGUGAUAUGAACCUCCCUGAGACCAUAUGUUUAUUCAUCAAUCAGUCUGAGCACACUGAAGAUGAUGCUCUCGCAUUUGCUAAGGCCACUGGGCUAGUUACUGGAAUAGUAAAAAUAGAGACCAAAAGGGUAGAACACACCAAGUAUAGUGAUCCAUUGAAGGACAAGUGCAUGGAUGAAACCGGGUACAUAUGAACCCAUUUUGGAAAACACAUUUUGCAAUGUCAAAAAAUUCUGAAAAAAGGUGUGCGCGGACAUCUUCAUAUUCUAUGUGUGUGCAGAAAGUUUCACAAAAAAACAACUUUUUUGUAGCCUGUGCAAAAAAGACAAAAUUUUGUGCCGUGAAACGCUAUUUAGAAGCAGUAAAAUUUGUCUUCUUUACUGAGACAAAACCAAAAUACUUUUUUACACAAGACUUUGUGCCGUGGACAUACCUUUGCCAACAUGUAUGCAUAUUUUUUUAGAAUUUUUGAACAUUACAAAACGCAUAAAAAGUACAUUUUUAAAAAGCGGGUGCAGAUGCCCCCGUGUGCACAUCAUCCACUCUCUCCAUGAUAGUAUGCAGCAAAGCAUGUAACAACUAGUUAAGCAGGAUGCUGAUUAGUCAAAACCUAAGUGUAUAUGUGAAGAAAAAUUAAAUUGAUGCAUUCAAACAUAUAGGACCCGAAAAUUUUCUCUCGGGAUACCUUGGUGCCAAUUAUAGCAUAUACCAUAUACCAAAUCCUUCUCCAUAUCCAUGUCAAUUAAGUAGCCAGUAAAUUCCUACCAAUCCUCGUAAAACUGAAAAGGGGAAAUAAUAAGUUCCAGUCCGCCGUUAGGCAUCUGAUCAGAACCUACAUGACGACAUAAGUUGAAAACUCAAAACGUUAAAUCUACUCCAAUUAUGCAAAGCAUUGAGUGUGCAUGGACGGGUCCAGGGAAGAGUGAGAGAGAGGAUUGAGACGUGCCAAGAUUACUACGAAUUAAGUCCGUGAUCUCGACCACAUUAAACCCAGCGAGCCUGCUGUGAUCUCAUGCGAUCUUCUAAUUUGGCAAGUGAACUUGCAUUCCUCUCAGAUCAUCUCCGGCCUUGUAUAAGUAGGCACGCACAGAUCCCAUCCAAGAACUACUCAACUCGUGUGCCAAGAUACACAAAAACCAAACCGCGUCCAUGGACGCGGUGCAAGUCGGCAAUGAGGAGGUGCAGCCGGCACCGGCCCUGGAGCUAAACCUCCUCGGCGGUCUUGGCGCUGAGGCUGAGGAGACCGCCGUCGGCGCUGAGGAGACCGCCGUGCCGGAGGCGGAGAAGGGAAAGGCCAAAUCGAGUGAGGAGGCGGGGCCGUCGUCGAGCGAGAAGCGCCGCGUGUUCAAGUGCAACUACUGCCCGCGCAAGUUCUACACGUCGCAGGCGCUGGGCGGCCACCAGAACGCGCACAAGCGCGAGCGCUCCGUCGCCAAGGGCGUCGCUGCGGGGCGGGGCGCCGGCCAUGGCGGCGCACUCGUGCCGCACCACCUUCGCUUCCCCAACGUCUGGUCCUACUCCGCCACCGGCAGGUCGUUCCUCGGCGGCGCGGCGCCGUUCUACGGGAUGCACAUGCACCACAACCUCCCCGGGUGGGGCGCGGCGGCCCAGCCGUCCCUCGCCGGUCUCACCCGUCACGCCGGCACUGACCGCCCGACGUACCCGCGGGCGGAGGCCUACGGCUUUGGCGCAUCGCCCAGGGCCCCCAUCCCUGUGGCCUCCCCUCGCGCGCCGUCGAUGGCCGUGAUCCAGUGGGGUGGUGGCAGCGGCAGUGGUAGUGGCAAUGGCGGCGAUCAUAGCGUUGGUGAAGCGAAGCAAGAAGAGGAGGAGAUCGCCAACACGGUAGACUUGACUCUCAAGCUCUAGCUAGCUCCGUAGGGUCUGAUCAUUGCUCUGUUAGAACCUUAUAAGCUUCGGUCUUGUUGUUGACAACUGUGGUCAAUGCUAUCAGUCAUUUAAUUAGUUGUUGAUAGGAGAAGUUCAUUCAGUUCAUGGUCGCUUGGCUCUUAUGGAAGGAGCGCAACAACAGAAGUUUUGAAGUUAAGUUCUCGUCGGUUGACCGCUUAUUAGAC